Non-coding RNA from Oryzias melastigma (Indian medaka), 593 nucleotides. Lineage: Eukaryota; Metazoa; Chordata; Actinopteri; Beloniformes; Adrianichthyidae. The record is from the annotation of a RefSeq genome assembly.
AUGGAUGUAUUCAGCAGCUAUGCAGACCAUCAUAAUGCUCAGAACCCUGAUCAUGGGUGUGACGAUACUGGAUGCGAUCAGCUGCCAUUUGUAUCACUGUGGUACACGUUUGGUGGAGGAACCAGACUGGAGGUUGGAAGUGAUGUCCGUCCCACCCUGACAGUGCUGUCCCCCUCCAUGGAUCAGGGGAAGGCCACACUCCUGUGUCUGGCCAACAAUGGCUUCCCUUCAGGCUGGGCUCUGUCCUGGAAGGUGGUCGGCAGCAGCAGCAGCAACUGGAAGGAGAGCAGCAGCCCCGGGGUGCUGCAGAAGGACGGCCUCUACAGCUGGAGCAGCACCCUGAGGCUCUCUGCAGACCAGUGGGAGAAGGUGGACUCUGUGACCUGUGAGGCCACCCAGGACUCCCAGACUCCAGUCUCAGAGACUCUGAGGAGAAACACCUGUUCCUAGUCACCACCUCAGUGACUUGUUUUUGCUUUUACUAAGUUUUCUGCUUAAUUUGAUUUUCUUUUCUAAAUCUUCUCCUUUGUGUUCCAUAAAAAUUGUUGAUUUUUGAUACUUUCUGCAAAAUAAAAAUGACUCCUUUAAGUUGU